RNAcentral lists this long non-coding RNA (1452 nucleotides) under Manacus vitellinus (golden-collared manakin). RNAcentral's name for it is "lncRNA (ENSMVIG00005011399.1)". Lineage: Eukaryota; Metazoa; Chordata; Aves; Passeriformes; Pipridae. The record is from RNAcentral.
ACCUAUCUGAAUUAUUGUGUGCUGAGCAUUUAAUAUUCCUGUUUAAUUUCUGAGUGUAUCUCUUGACGCUUUCUGUUGGGUUCAGAAUGUUUGCUGGACAGCAUUUCAAACGUUCCUGAUAGCAAGUCUGAGGAAAGUGAAGCCUCUGAUGCCUCUCACAGUGAAGGGGAUGACAGUGUCUCUCCUGAUGACUGGUACAACGUGCAUUUUUACCUGGAUGAGGGGGAUGAUGAAGUCUUCAGUAUACCUGACUCUCCAAAGCUGCAAAGUGCUUCUGAGCAUGAGGUGGAGGACUGGGAUAAAGAAUUGGAGGAGUCUGCAUAUGGUCCUUAUGAUGCUGAUGAUCUGUCCUGUGGAAGCUUUCAGGAAAAUAAUGUUUUGGCCUCACCCGUGUGGAAGGAGGACUGGUUUUACUACCCAGGCUGUCACCACACAGCUUGCUUUGUUUGUCCACCACGAGUCAGUGCAAAGGUUGAGAGUGGCCAGUUUGAUGAUGCAGAUGAGUGAGGCUGACCCUGGGCAGAAGUAAGUUUGGCCUCUGAGUUGGAAUGUGUUCUUCACUGACUGAGCUGUGUCAAGUCCUUUAGUUUGCUUGCAGAGUUCUGCCCAAGGCCAGAAAUGCGACACCACCUCCCAAGUUUUGCUCAGGUGCUGCUGAGCUGUUCUAAACUGCCCACACUGGGCUCUGGAGACACGAGUGCAGGUGCUGGCUGUGACAGUGCGUUUCUGGAGGUUUUGGUUGUGUUCUGUAGAUCUGUGUUGUUACUAAUUAAUUGCUUGAGAAGAAGUGUUCGGUUUCUAAACUCAGAUUGUUUAUUUGCAGGGCUUUGUGAGUUUUGACAUGCUGGUCCCUGUGUGUGUAACUCUUAGUUCCUUCUCCUUUUCACCUGAUGCUGUCAGAUGGGUUUGGAGAGCUUUAAAAACUCUCCCUCCUUCAAGCUUCUCUGUUGUAUUUCCAUGUGGUUCUAAUUGCCAUUUGUGAUUCUGAUACUGCUUUUCAACAAAAUGAGCUGUGGCAAGUACAGAAUGAGUUGUUUUGUGUUUAUUUUUAUGUAUUCCACUAUAAAGGAAUUAAAAAUACCUGAUACACAUUUUGCAAGCACACAUGAUGAUACACAGCAGGGCCUGCUCCAUCCAGUAGGAAUGCUGGGUGCCUAAGGCUGCCUCCCAACAAAGCUUUCUCCACAUCAGACCUUCUUGUUCUAUGGGCAUAUAACCCUGCAGUCCCAGUGUUGUCUUUAUUACACUCUCAUGCAGCAUCAGAUGUGUAAUGACAAAGACAUUUAUAUACCUAUUGUAGUACAUAAUCUGUGUGUCCUGCACAGUAGUGGAUUAAGGUUCCUGAUAGUGUUUGUUGUGGCAAAUGAGAUGAGAACACAAAAUACCUCCCUCAGAGAAUAGCUGGAACUAGAACCAUCUCCUCCUUGCUUUGCUGUGGAAUGAAAGGAAAUG